UGGGGAAUAUUGCACAAUGGGCGCAAGCCUGAUGCAGCCAUGCCGCGUGUAUGAAGAAGGCCUUCGGGUUGUAAAGUACUUUCAGUCGGGAGGAAGGUGUCAAGGUUAAUAACCUUGGCAAUUGACGUUACCGACAGAAGAAGCACCGGCUAACUCCGUGCCAGCAGCCGCGGUAAUACGGAGGGUGCAAGCGUUAAUCGGAAUUACUGGGCGUAAAGCGCACGCAGGCGGUUGAUUGAGUCAGAUGUGAAAUCCCCGGGCUUAACCCGGGAAUUGCAUCUGAUACUGGUCAGCUAGAGGCUUGUAGAGGGGGGUAGAAUUCCAUGUGUAGCGGUGAAAUGCGUAGAGAUGUGGAGGAAUACCGGUGGCGAAGGCGGCCCCCUGGACAAAGACUGACGCUCAGGUGCGAAAGCGUGGGGAGCAAACA
Molecule: ribosomal RNA, 427 nt
Filed under: uncultured bacterium
Lineage: Bacteria
Description: partial 16S ribosomal RNA
Rfam family: Bacterial small subunit ribosomal RNA
Source: RNAcentral